GAUGAAGAACGUAGCGAAAUGCGAUACUUGGUGUGAAUUGCAGAAUCCCGUGAACCAUCGAGUCUUUGAACGCAAGUUGCGCCUCAAGCCAUUAGGUUGAGGGCACGUCUGCCUGGGCGUCACAUAUCGUUGCCUGAUGCCAGUUUCCUCGUGAUGGGUGACUGUGCAGGGCGAAUGAUGGCUUCCCGUGAGCAUUGUUGCCUCAUGGUUGGUUGAAAAUUGAGUCCUUGGUAGGGAGCGCCGUGAUAGAUGGUGGUUGAGUGACGAACGAGACCCAAUCAUGUGAGACCCCUAUCGAAUUUGGCCUUCAUGACCCACAUGCGUCUUUGGAACGCUCAUGACGAGACCUCAGGUCAGGCGGGGCUACCCGCUGAGUUUAAGCAUAUCAAUAAGCGGAGGA
RNAcentral lists this unclassified non-coding RNA (400 nucleotides) under soil metagenome. RNAcentral describes it as "partial contains 5.8S ribosomal RNA, internal transcribed spacer 2, and large subunit ribosomal RNA". The stretch from base 1 to 122 matches the Rfam family "5.8S ribosomal RNA", at positions 35 to 154 of the family's 154-position model. The record is from RNAcentral.